AUGGAGUUUAUGCUGAGCUGGGUUUUUCUUGCUGCUCUUUUAAAAGGUGUCCAGUGUGAGGUGCAGCUGGUGGAGUCUGGAGGAGGCUUGGUUCAGCCUGGGGGUCCCUGAGACUCUCCUGUGCAGCCUCUGGAUUCACCUUCAGUAACAGUGACAUGAACAGGGUCCGCCAGGCUCCAAGGAAGGGGCUGGAGUGGGUCUCGGGUAUUAGCUGGAAUGGCAGUAGGACACACUAGGUAGACUCCAUGAAGGGCCGAUUCAUCGUCUCCAGAGAUAACACCAGGAAUUUCCUUUACCUGCAAAUGAGCAGCCUGAGACCUGACGACGCGGCCGUGUAUCAUUGUGUGACAAACACUACCACGAGAUACCCAGGCAGAGGGGUUGCCAGCAUCGCAGUCCCAGCCGGUGCGGCUGUUUUGGCCCCCGCGGGGCUGAUUCCGGCCGCGUGGCUGCUGUGA
Saimiri boliviensis boliviensis (Bolivian squirrel monkey) is the source of this 458-nucleotide non-coding RNA. NCBI's taxonomy places the organism in Eukaryota, Metazoa, Chordata, Mammalia, Primates, Cebidae. The record is from RefSeq and is a predicted model, not a curated record.